This 2704-nucleotide long non-coding RNA is filed under the name Citrus maxima (pomelo). RNAcentral describes it as "long non-coding RNA (CMAX_LNC001848)". The record is from RNAcentral. Lineage: Eukaryota; Viridiplantae; Streptophyta; Magnoliopsida; Sapindales; Rutaceae.
CACAUUCUAAACUGUACAAUUGAAGCCACAUUGGCAAAUUUCAAUUUACAUUACACAUUGAUAUAAUUGUCAUUUACAUAUAAAGAACUUAAAUGCAUACAAGCUCAAUUAUAACAGUUUAGUACUUAAAUAACCUUGAUCAAACUAACUCCUAACAGUCAAAAAAUGUACUGCACAAAUUCUUAAAUUAACUAUACAAACAAAUAUAAUCCAAAAAGGAAAUGGAGACUAUAUUUUGUGCUUACAUAAGGUGGGAUUGGCACUUGGAACAUUUAUACCCAGCCAGCGAGCUCGCCCUUCAGAAACUGAAUCCUUAAUGCUCAGAAUUAUACACAUAGCAUGCUUUGCAAAGUAGUUCUUGUCUUGCAACUAGGCUUACCAAUGUGGUUCCUAUUAAAUCAAUAUUUAUUGGAGCCCGAUUAUCACCAUUUUCAUUGGUUGGCUGCAAAGAACAGAAACAAAAAAUUCAAAUCAAAGGUAAAGCUAAACAAAUUAGCUUUUAAAGUAAAGAAAAAAACGCAGAGCCUCAAAAAAUCCAAGUAUCACCAUUUUCACUCAUUAGCUCAAUCUCGAUUUUAUAUUUACGGCACUCUAUUUAAGACAUAAAACCAGAAAACUUCUUCAUUUGUUUGGGGUUUGACCACACUCACAAGGGUAGGGAGAAAAUUGGGUUGCCGUUAAGCUAAAUAAUAAUGACAAUAAAAUAAAUAAAAAAUAAAAAAGAAGUGUAGCACUACAUACUUCUUUCCCGUCAAAAUACAGCCACUGGAAUACAACCCAAUUUAGCAUUUUGAAUAAAACCAUGCAAGUCUUAGGAUCAAUAGCCUGAAGAACAAAACAAUGGAUUAAAUAAAAAAAAUACCAUUAGCGCCAUAAAUUAUAAUCUGCUGCAAGAUUUAAAUUAUAAUCUAUUAAAUUAAAGUAUUAAUUAGAACUCAAACAAAUUUAUUUAAGGAAAAAAAACUAGAGUUGUUCAUACGGCAGCCAGGAAAAUUUAGAGAAUUUAAUUGAAAAAGAUAUUAAUGCUUUAUAAGUAAGAAGAUUUCGAAAUUAAUUAAGCCACGCAUGAACAAAAAUCUAAUCAAAUAGUCAAAGAAGAGAUUAUGUGAUAAUUGGCCAAACCCAUGUAACUUUGAAGUUGAUUAAAUAGUAUAAAAAUUCACCCAAAAUGAAUUUAACACAUACAUGAUAAUUAGGCAAAUAUCUGACACCUGUAAAUUUAUACAUGAAUUUGAAUAGAUUAAACAAAAAUAAGAGAAGAAAUCAGCCAUUACAGUUUAGAAUUUGCUAGGUAGUAUCAACUUUAAUACCCAAAAACAGAUUAUGGAACGAACAUACAAAUUUUUUUUUUCAAAUAAGAAUCGGAACUUGAAACAAGCAUGGCAAAAGAGACUAAUUUCAAUGACAUAAUACCUAAAUAAACAGAAUUUUAAUCAUGCGUGCAAGUUAAUUUAGAAAUGACUUAACAACAUCAACAUGCAUGCCAAUUUAAACAAGAAUUUUGAAGAAAAAUAAAGAAUAAAAUGAACUGAGAAAGAAGGCUUACAAAUUCAAAAAGCCAGAUAUUUAAUAUUUUGCUCUGAAAUUGAAUUCUCUCUCUUUAAAUCCAAAUCCUUCACCUAGCCUCUCUUGUCUUUCUCUUCUUUCUCCCUCUUCUCCUCUCUCACGUCCUGUUAUCCUCUUGUUUCCUUUCUUCCUUUUUCUGUUUUGUUCCUUUUGAAUCCGAACACUGGUUUUUGUUUCGUAAAUAAAUAAAGAAAUGCUAAAAUAUAAAGAGGUUCAUGGGCUGGACUUGUAACAAAAAUUUUACUAACAAUAUAAUAAGCAUAAGACAAUUAAAUCAUUAAUAAUUUAAAUUUUAUUUUUUUAACAAAUAAGUAAACUCCACUUAGUAAAAAUCAGGGCGUUUCAGUCCUCUUUUCUGUCAAUGUGAUUUUCUAUCCCCUUACCCAUAAUUCACUCUUUUUCCAAAUUCAUUAACCAAGAAAAUCAAGAAACAAAAGGCCAAAGUGCACGACAUAUUUUAUAAUAUUAUGAAAGGAAAAGGAGAGACUAAGGUACAAGCUACACAACACAAAAUCACCAAAUCGAUUAUAAAUGAAGAGGAAAUAAAUCCGACGAGCAAAUAUUUCAAAGCAAAUUAAGAGGAAAGAAUUGCAAAAUUGGAGAAAGCAACUCACAGUGGUGAAACAAUAACCCUGAAUUCAAAAUUUUAGAAUAUCAUUGGCAACAAUCUCACCAACAUUUUCAAGAUAGCACCCAGAAAAUUUGAACUGACUUGACAGCGGAGGCAGUGUCACCACAAUAACCCUGCAUCUGACGGUGAACGAACACAGAGGCAAUGUCGGCAGAGAUGACAGCAGCUGUUUUGCGGAAGUGAAUCGGCUCAAGAAUGGCAGAGAUUGACAGCGGCGGCAGAAAAAGGAAGCAAAUCGGCUCAAGGACAGCUAGACUCAGCGCUGGAGCACUUGAAUCGAUUUGACAGCGGCAGCGGCAUUGACGUUUGAUAGCUUAGGUAGGGUUAGGGCUGGUGUGUGUGACUGAGUGAGUCGUUGUGAUUGUAAUUCGUGAAAAUUGAAGAAGAAGAUAAGGAAUGUGAGUGGUUAGGGAUUGCGCGUUACCUUUAUUCCUUUUAUCGGCUUUUUUUUUUAAAUUUUUUAAGGCAAAUAACAUAUAACGACGGUUAUUAUAAAACGGUCAUGAA